AUGACGCCCCCCUUCCGCCCGUCCCCCUCCUCCACCGCCCCCGCCCCCCGCGGCUGCGGCGGCGAGCGCUGCGCCUCCGGCCGCGAGGCCUGGCCGCUCCACCACGUCCGCCACAACGACGUCUUCUGCCGCCUCUGCUCCUCCUGCGUCCUCCUCUACCACCCCGCCUCCUUCUGCUCGGCCUGCCUCCUCCUCCUCCACACGGACGCUGCCGCCGCCGCCGCCGCCGCGCAGGACCCCCACUUCGACCCCGCCGUCGCCCCGCCGGGCCCCACCGCCGAGUGCUCCAAUUGCGGCCUCUUCGUCGCCCAUGUCACCUGCAUCCCCGACCCCGUCUCCUUCGUCUGCCCGCCGUGCGCCGCCGAGGCCGAGGGCCGGCCCUUCACCUACGCGCCCGCCGCCCGCCGCGUGAUGGACGAGCGCGCCGCGCGGAUCCUCCUCAUCGCGGCGCGCCUCGCGCACGAGUCCAUCGGCCGCGCUGCCGCUGCCGCCCGCGAGGAGGCGGAGCGCCGCGUCCAGGAGGCGGCCGUCGCGCGGAAGCGCUCGCGGGAAAUGCUGGACGCUGCCUUCCGGGCGCUCGAGGAGGAGGCCAGGGCCGCCAAGAUCAAGGAGGAGGAGGCGGCGGCCAGGGAGGCCAAGAACAAGAAGGAGAAGCCCGCCGCGGCCCAGCCGCCCAAGAAGAAGACCCCUAAGAGCAGCGAGUCGAGCAGGGACAGGGAUAAGAUGCUCAAGUUCAAUGCCAUGCAGCAGCCGGCGCUGGCAUUUGCUGCGGCAGCCGCCGCCGCAGCCAGCUCAUGCGGCAGCUCAAUGCCACCAUUGUCAACCCCACCACCCAAGGAGGACAAGAAGCCGAUGAAACAGGAGGAGCAAGGUUCAACGGACACAGUAGCAGAUGAAGAUGUGAAGGGGUUGUUUGGGACCUUGCAAUCAUAA
Molecule: ribosomal RNA, 933 nt
Filed under: Triticum aestivum (bread wheat)
Lineage: Eukaryota; Viridiplantae; Streptophyta; Magnoliopsida; Poales; Poaceae
Description: partial small subunit ribosomal RNA
Source: RNAcentral